RNAcentral lists this ribosomal RNA (440 nucleotides) under uncultured bacterium. RNAcentral's name for it is "bacterial SSU rRNA". It matches the Rfam family "Bacterial small subunit ribosomal RNA", at positions 338 to 771 of the family's 1533-position model. The record is from RNAcentral.
CCUACGGGAGGCAGCAGUGGGGAAUUGUUCGCAAUGGGCGCAAGCCUGACGACGCAACGCCGCGUGGAGGAUGAAGGUCUUCGGAUUGUAAACUCCUGUUGCCCGGGACGAACGGCUCCAACCUAAUACGUUGGAGUGUGACGGUACCGGGUGAGGAAGCCCCGGCUAACUCUGUGCCAGCAGCCGCGGUAAUACAGAGGGGGCAAGCGUUGUUCGGAAUUACUGGGCGUAAAGGGCGCGUAGGCGGCCUGCUAAGUCGAACGUGAAAUCCCUGGGCUCAACCCAGGAACUGCGUCCGAUACUGGUUGGCUUGAAUUCGGGAGAGGGAAGUGGAAUUUCCGGUGUAGCGGUGAAAUGCGUAGAUAUCGGAAGGAACACCAGUGGCGAAGGCGACUUCCUGGACCAUUACUGACACUGAGGCACGAAAGCGUGGGGAGCGA